UCGAGCGAGCUGAAUUCAAAGAUCCCUUCGGGGUGAUUUGUUGGACGCUAGCGGCGGAUGGGUGAGUAACACGUGGGCAAUCUGCCCUAAAGACUGGGAUCCCACUUGGAAACAGGUGCUAAUACCGGAUAACAACAUGAAUCGCAUGAUUCAAGUUUGAAAGACGGCGCAAGCUGUCACUUUAGGAUGAGCCCGCGGCGCAUUAGCUAGUUGGUGGGGUAAAGGCCUACCAAGGCAAUGAUGCGUAGCCAAGUUGAGAGACUGAUCGGCCACAUUGGGACUGAGACACGGCCCAAACUCCUACGGGAGGCAGCAGUAGGGAAUCUUCCACAAUGGACGCAAGUCUGAUGGAGCAACGCCGCGUGAGUGAAGAAGGUUUUCGGAUCGUAAAGCUCUGUUGUUGGUGAAGAAGGAUAGAGGCAGUAACUGGUCUUUAUUUGACGGUAAUCAACCAGAAAGUCACGGCUAACUACGUGCCAGCAGCCGCGGUAAUACGUAGGUGGCAAGCGUUGUCCGGAUUUAUUGGGCGUAAAGCGAGCGCAGGCGGAAUGAUAAGUCUGAUGUGAAAGCCCACGGCUCAACCGUGGAACUGCAUCGGAAACUGUCGUUCUUGAGUGCAGAAGAGGAGAGUGGAACUCCAGGUGUAGCGGUGGAAUGCGUAGAUAUAUGGAAGAACACCAGUGGCGAAGGCGGCUCUCUGGUCUGCAACUGACGCUGAGGCUCGAAAGCAUGGGUAGCGAACAGGAUU
Molecule: ribosomal RNA, 748 nt
Filed under: uncultured Lactobacillus sp.
Lineage: Bacteria; Bacillati; Bacillota; Bacilli; Lactobacillales; Lactobacillaceae
Description: bacterial SSU rRNA
Rfam family: Bacterial small subunit ribosomal RNA
Source: RNAcentral